RNAcentral lists this long non-coding RNA (217 nucleotides) under Elaeis guineensis (African oil palm). RNAcentral describes it as "long non-coding RNA (EGUI_LNC034583)". Lineage: Eukaryota; Viridiplantae; Streptophyta; Magnoliopsida; Arecales; Arecaceae. The record is from RNAcentral.
ACCAUCGAUCAAAGUUUAGGCUUUAGCUAACUUCAUAGUGGAGUGCACCCUCCCAGAUGAGGUUGCAGUGAUUGAAGAAGCCGAAUCCUGGGAACAGACCCGUGAUGGCCAACUCGGGUUCAGCUCGAUUGCUUGGGAGUUGUACGUCGACGGGCCAUCCAGCUUCACGAGAUCGGGAAUGGGGUUGAUUCUAUUUGGAUGGGAUGGUCGCCGAAUA